GGUGAACGCUGGCGGUAGGCCUAACACAUGCAAGUCGAACGGCAGCACAAUAAGAGCUUGCUCUUACGGGUGGCGAGUGGCGGACGGGUGAGGAAUACAUCGGAAUCUACUUUUUCGUGGGGGAUAACGUAGGGAAACUUACGCUAAUACCGCAUACGACCUACGGGUGAAAGCAGGGGAUCUUCGGACCUUGCGCGAUUGAAUGAGCCGAUGUCGGAUUAGCUAGUUGGCGGGGUAAAGGCCCACCAAGGCGACGAUCCGUAGCUGGUCUGAGAGGAUGAUCAGCCACACUGGAACUGAGACACGGUCCAGACUCCUACGGGAGGCAGCAGUGGGGAAUAUUGGACAAUGGGCGCAAGCCUGAUCCAGCCAUACCGCGUGGGUGAAGAAGGCCUUCGGGUUGUAAAGCCCUUUUGUUGGGAAAGAAAAGCAGCAGGUUAAUACCCCGCUGUUCUGACGGUACCCAAAGAAUAAGCACCGGCUAACUUCGUG
This 492-nucleotide ribosomal RNA is filed under the name uncultured bacterium. RNAcentral describes it as "partial 16S ribosomal RNA". It matches the Rfam family "Bacterial small subunit ribosomal RNA", at positions 28 to 507 of the family's 1533-position model. The record is from RNAcentral.